CUCUACAGCUCUACUCUCCCCUCCCGCGGAGGCGUGGACGGCAUGGAGUUGGGGGAGCCCGGGGCCCGUGGAUGCCGUGGUCCCGUGCGAUUACUGUGCGUGGCUGGCUGUUCGCUCUCCUCCCUCCCCGCGUGUUUUCAGGGGCGGCCUUGCUCAGUUCAAUGAUGGGAACAGAGUGCAUCAUGGCCACACUCGGCGGGGAUCCUGAACCCUCAAUUCCACCUGGAUUCGGACCUUUUGUUGCCCUCGCGCUACAGGGCAUCCAAAACAAUGCCAAAUCAGCUGAUGCUCAUUCUAGUUCUGCUCAAGCAGCACACUGCAUGGAGAAAGAUGUUGAAGUUCUGGAACACGGUUCGGCGCAUGGUUGGAGUGACACUCCUGCUAGUACUUCAGGGACCCAUAGUUGCAGGAGGUCACUUCGUAACAGGCCUCCAAUAGACUAUAGCCAGUUCGACCUUAUCUCGGACGAAGAAUCUGAUGUUGAAUCAGCAGAAAAGGGAGUGGGAUUAGUGAGACGCAGACGACAAUUACCGAAAGGAGUACUUCGGGGAUGCGCACAAUGUGCUGAUUGUCAAAAGGUUGUUGCAAGGUGGAAUCCAUCUGGUGCAAGGAGGCCUGUUCUUGAGGAAGCUCCUGUUUUCUAUCCAUCCGAAGAGGAAUUCAAGGACACCUUAAAAUACAUUGAGAGUAUACGGUCUACAGCAGAACCAUAUGGAAUUUGUCGUAUUGUCCCGCCGCCUUCAUGGAAACCUCCAUGCCUUCUUAAAGAGAAGAACAUAUGGGAAUGCUCAAAAUUUUGUACUCGGGUACAGAAGGUUGACAAGCUCCAAAACCGUAAAUCAUCCAAGAAGGGCAGAAGAGGUGGGAUGAUGAAGAAGCGGAGGAAGCUUUUAGAGCUGGAAGAUAACAAUAAUAUUAAUCACAAUCAAACUGGGGUGCAGCAAAACCAAGAGAGGUUUGGAUUUGAACCUGGACCUGAGUUCACACUUCAGACAUUUAAGAAGUAUGCAGAUGAUUUCCGUGAACAAUAUUUUAAGAAAGAAGUGUCCGCGGACUCACCACCAUCAGUAGAAGACAUUGAAGGCGAGUAUUGGCGUAUAGUCGAAAAGCCUACUGAAGAGAUAGAGGUAGUAUAUGGUGCUGAUUUGGAGACUGGAACUUUUGGUAGCGGCUUCCCAAAGUCUUCUCCCGAAGUAAAAUCUGAUGUUGAGCAUAAGUACUUAGAGUCUGGUUGGAACCUAAACAACUUGCCUAGACUACAAGGUUCAGUACUAUCUUUUGAAGGUGGGGACAUCUCUGGUGUUUUGGUCCCUUGGCUGUAUGUUGGAAUGUGCUUUUCAUCAUUCUGCUGGCAUGUUGAAGACCAUCAUUUGUACUCACUGAACUACAUGCAUUGGGGUGCUCCAAAGAUGUGGUAUGGAGUUCCAGGAAAGGAUGCCGUAAAUUUGGAGGCAGCAAUGAGGAAACAUCUACCUGACUUGUUUGAGGAACAACCUGAUUUGCUUCACAACCUGGUUACUCAAUUUUCAACUUCAUUGCUUAAAUCUGAAGGAGUACCAGUCUACCGAUGUGUGCAGCAUGAGGGAGAGUUUGUCCUAACAUUCCCUCGGGCAUACCAUGCUGGUUUCAACUGUGGCUUCAAUUGUGCAGAAGCUGUUAAUGUGGCACCAAUUGAUUGGUUACCAAUUGGACAGGAUGCAGUCGAGCUUUAUCGUAAGCAAGCUCGGAAAAUUACUGUUUCCCAUGAUAAGCUGUUGCUAGGGGCUGCAAGAGAAGCAAUAAGAGCUCAUUGGGAUAUUCUGUUCCUUAAGAAAAAUACUGCUGAUAACUUGAGGUGGAAAAGCAUGUGUGGACUUGACAGUACUAUAUGCAAAUCGCUUAAGGCAAGAAUCGAUUUGGAGUUGGCGCAAAGACAAAAUAUAUGCUCUCCAUCUCAAUCUAGAAAAAUGGAUGCUGAAUUUGAUUCAACUGAUAGAGAGUGUGCAUUGUGCUAUUAUGAUCUGCAUCUUUCUGCUUCUGGCUGUCCAUGUUGCCCAGGGAAAUAUACCUGCCUUGUACAUGCAAAGCAGCUUUGCUCAUGUGACUGGGACAAAAGAUUUUUCCUUUUCCGUUAUGAUAUCAAUGAGUUAAAUAUGUUGGCUGACGCUUUAGGUGGGAAGUUAAGUGCAAUUCACAGAUGGGGUGUCUCUCAUCUUGGAUUAAGUUUGAGAUCAUGUGUCAAAAGAGAAAAAGACCAAGAUUCGAAGACUCCUCGCAGAGUAACUGAUGGCCCCAGAAGGUCCUACAUGUCUCAGGCGUCAACAGUAUCAUUGGCACCUUCGUUGGUUUGCAAUGAACAGAACAACAAUGGUAAUAAGAUGCUGGAAAAAGCUAGUUUGGAAACAGAUACUUGUCCUUUUGCAGAGCAAAUAAAAUCUGGAACUAUUUCACUACAGGAGGCACCAUGGUUAUUAAAACGUCGUUUAAACGACGAUUAAGCGUCGUUUAAACGCUAAAACGCGAUUAGUAGAUAAAACGUCCACACGUUUUACCAAAACUGCGUAGAACGUCCGUUCUGGACGUUUAAACGACGUUUACACGUCGGAACGCACGUUCUGGACGUUCUAUGCGCUAUAUGGACGUUCUAUGCUCAUAGCGUUUGUGGGCCUUAAUGGCCUAAUGGGCCUUUACCCAGCCGCUGAUCCAACGCGCGCAGCCGCUGAUCCAUCACUGCCAGACGCCAUCGCGCCCAGCCGCCCAGACCGCUGGUGGUUUGUUUGGUAAAUGGGGAAUGGGCAAUACUCUGUUGGUUCCCUGUUAAGUGUUACAUUUUCAAUGCGGUCAUGGAAAUGGAAUUAGAUGUUGCUGUUGUGAAGAGAGAUGACCUUGGAAAUGCUCAUGGUCUUAAUCUUGAUGAGUUCGAUGAUGGUUACUAAUCAUACAUGAAAGUUGUAACUUGUGUUGUGUGGUUGAACUUAUGCUAAUGCUAUUUGGUUUGUGAACUCAACUUAUGUAUGAACUUAUUCUAUAUUUAAAAUUCUAUGUCAAGUCUGAAAAGACGUUUCAACGUUCGCUUAAACGUUUAAACGUUGAAAAGUUGGUUCAUAACGUUUUAACGUUUUACCGUUUUAAUAACCAUGGGAGGCACACAUGAAGACUGAGGUAUCCUGUACACUAAACAACAGUGUCAGUCCUGAAGGCCACAAAAGCUCACUAAGCUUGCCAGUUCCUUCUGGCCAGUCACUUUCUUCCAAUCUUGCCACAAGGUCUUUAAGUACUGCAGGAGAAUCUGUGAAAAAUGCAUAUGACUUGGUAGUAUUUAAAGGGAGUAGAGAAUCUUCUCGGGCUGGAGACUGUAUAUCUUCGCUUGGUGUGCAUCAUAACAUACCGCCAAUAAUGAUUGAUCAAGGAAGCAACAUGAAUCCUAGUAUGGAGAGCUCAAACAAUUCACAUAGGUUGAUGGCAUCUAACACUAAUGCAACUAAGUUUUACUCUUACAAGGACCAAAUGCAUGUAACACCAGAAAGUCAAGCUUCUGCUGCAUCAAGUCAGCCCUUUGCGGGAACUGUUUUAAGAGCACAAAGUGUAUCUCAGGAAGCUUCACCUAGCGUCUUUACUUCAAAGCCUCUCAUAGAUUCUUCACUUUUGAAAAAUACUUAUGUUGGUUUAAGUUCAGGCGGUGCCCAUAUUGGACAUCCAAAUUUUGGUAACCAGCAACCAAGUGACGAAUGCCUUCAAAGAAAAUCUGAAUCUCUAUCUGGUUCAGAAGCAAAGGGCCAUUCAGCUGCAUUGGUGCAACCUGCUCUAGGAAAUCAUCAUAAUGGGAGUGGAGGUGCACACAAGGGCCUUCGGAUGGCUAACGUUGUACAUCGAUUCAAGAGCUUAGUUGAAUCUUUGGAAAUUGGUGUUGUGCUAUCUGGGAGGUUGUGGUCCUCAAGCCAAGCAAUCUUCCCAAAAGGGUUCAGGAGCAGAGUAAAAUAUUUCAGCAUCGUGGAUCCAACACAAAUGGCAUACUACAUAUCUGAAAUAUUAGACGCUGGACCACAGGGACCUCUGUUUAUGGUGACUCUGGAAAACUGUCCAGGCGAACUUUUUAUCAACGUCUCUCCUGCCAAGUGCUGGAGCAUGGUCCGUGAGAGGCUGAAUAUGGAAAUACGGAGGCAACUCAGUACGGGAAGAGCUAAUCUUCCUGCACUACAGCCACCGGGAUCAGUUGAUGGUUUUGAAAUGUUCCGGUUGCUGUCACCGGCAAUUGUUCAGGCAAUCGAGGCACGGGAUAGAGAUCGCAUCUGCACAGAGUACUGGAGAUCCAGGCCUCAUGUUGUCACUGAAGAUCGUGCGACGGCGCCACCUCAGGCUCAGGGUCCUCUGCAUGCGCUGAGGGGUCUAUUCCAGCGAGCCAACCGCAAUGAGCUGCUAGCCCUACGGAGUCUACUGGUGAGCAACAUCAGCCCGGACGACUUCUCCAGGCGGCAGGCUACCCAAAUCCUCGACGAGGAGAUCGCCAAGCAGUGGCGCUGACAGGCGUAAAUACAACUCUGUAAUCUCUUGAUGGCAUGACGGGACCAAGCAGUUUUCGACCUUGACGAAAGAGCGGCUCCUUCCGUUGCCCCCGUGCCC
RNA transcript from Zea mays, 4599 nucleotides. It is a transcript of the gene named lysine-specific demethylase pseudogene, with no coding region annotated. The transcript is spliced from 13 exons. Lineage: Eukaryota; Viridiplantae; Streptophyta; Magnoliopsida; Poales; Poaceae. The record is from RefSeq and is marked validated.